AACGAACGCUGGCGGCAGGCCUAACACAUGCAAGUCGAGCGGACCUUUCGGGGUCAGCGGCGGACGGGUGAGUAACGCGUGGGAAUAUGCCCUUCUCUACGGAAUACUCCUGGGAAACGGGGGGUAAUACCGAAUACGCCCUAUGGGGGAAAAAUUUAUCGAGCAAGGAGUAGCCGGCGUUGAAUUAGGUUGUUGGUGGGGUAAUGGUCUACCAAGCCGACGAUCCAUAGCUGGUUUGAGAGGAUGAUUAGCCACACUGGGAGUGAGACACGGCCCAGACUCCUACGGGAGGCAGCAGUGCGGAAUCUUAGACAAUGGCGGCAACCCUGAUCUAGCCAUGCUGCGUGAGUGAUGAAGGCCUUAGAGUUGUAAAGCUCUUUCAGCUGGGAAGAUCAUGACGGUACCUGAAGAAGAAGCCCCGGCUAACUACGUG
Molecule: ribosomal RNA, 433 nt
Filed under: uncultured bacterium
Lineage: Bacteria
Description: partial 16S ribosomal RNA
Rfam family: Bacterial small subunit ribosomal RNA
Source: RNAcentral